ACUCUGCUGGCGAAAAAAGGGCAGUUGCUGAGCAGCUUUGCGCUGCUGCGCGAUGACGGUUCUACCGCAUCGUCGUGUU
RNAcentral lists this transfer RNA (79 nucleotides) under compost metagenome. RNAcentral's name for it is "tRNA-Gln". The record is from RNAcentral.